AGUGAACGCUGGCGGUAGGCCUAACACAUGCAAGUCGAACGGCAGCACAGUAAGAGCUUGCUCUUACGGGUGGCGAGUGGCGGACGGGCGAGGAAUACAUCGGAAUCUACUUUUUCGUGGGGGAUAACGUAGGGAAACUUACGCUAAUACCGCAUACGACCUACGGGUGAAAGCAGGGGAUCUUCGGACCUUGCGCGAUUGAAUGAGCCGAUGUCGGAUUAGCUAGUUGGCGGGGUAAAGGCCCACCAAGGCGACGAUCCGUAGCUGGUCUGAGAGGAUGAUCAGCCACACUGGAACUGAGACACGGUCCAGACUCCUACGGUAGGCAGCAGUGGGGAAUAUUGGACAAUGGGCGCAAGCCUGAUCCAGCCAUACCGCGUGGGUGAAGAAGGCCUUCGGGUUGUAAAGCCCUUUUGUUGGGAAAGAAAAGCAGCAGGUUAAUACCCCGCUGUUCUGACGGUACCCAAAGAAUAAGCACCGGCUAACUUCGUG
RNAcentral lists this ribosomal RNA (492 nucleotides) under uncultured bacterium. Its description in RNAcentral is "partial 16S ribosomal RNA". It matches the Rfam family "Bacterial small subunit ribosomal RNA", at positions 29 to 507 of the family's 1533-position model. The record is from RNAcentral.